GACGAACGCUGGCGGCGUGCUUAACACAUGCAAGUCGAACGGAAAGGCCCUGCUUUUGUGGGGUGCCCGAGUGGCGAACGGGUGAGUAACACGUGAGUAACCUGCCCUUGACUUUGGGAUAACUUCAGGAAACUGGGGCUAAUACCGGAUAGGAGAUCCUGCUGCAUGGUGGGGGUUGGAAAGUUGCGGCGGUCGGGGAUGGACUGGCGGCUUACCAGCUUGUUGGUGGGGUAGUGGCUUACCAAGGCUUUGACGGGUAGCCGGCCUGGGAGGGUGACCGGCCACAUUGGUACUGAGAGACGGCCCAGACUCCUACGGGAGGCAGCGGGGGGGAAUAUUGCACAGUGGGCGGGAGCCUGAGGCGGCGGCGCCGCGUUCGGGAUGACGGCCUUCGGGGUAUAAACCGCUUUCGCCUGUGACGAAGCGUGAGUGACGGUAAUGAGUAAAGAAGCACCGGCUAACUACGUG
RNAcentral lists this ribosomal RNA (468 nucleotides) under uncultured bacterium. RNAcentral's name for it is "partial 16S ribosomal RNA". It matches the Rfam family "Bacterial small subunit ribosomal RNA", at positions 28 to 507 of the family's 1533-position model. The record is from RNAcentral.